Vigna radiata var. radiata (mung bean) is the source of this 1129-nucleotide long non-coding RNA. RefSeq lists it as uncharacterized. The transcript is spliced from 3 exons. NCBI's taxonomy places the organism in Eukaryota, Viridiplantae, Streptophyta, Magnoliopsida, Fabales, Fabaceae. The record is from RefSeq and is a predicted model, not a curated record.
AAGAAGAGGAGAAACGAGGGAAAAUUACAUAUUACGAAGAAAAAAAAAUGGUUAGAAAGUAGAGGACUUCGAUAUUCUGGCAAUCCGAGUCCUUUAAAUUGCUGAAGGGUAGACUCAGAUAAUAUGCUUUAUUUUGCAAGUAAGCAUUUCACACUGAAAAGUGGUUUGAAUUUUACUACACAAGUGUAGUGAAUUCAAUCUAUUUUUCUGCCACAAUUUGUUAUAAGCCAUUGAAACUCAGUUUUUCUCUUUUUUUUUUUUCUGUUUUUAUUCAAACAGUACUGGUGAAUAUUAGGUGUUUGUAGUUUGGUUCAUUGAAUUCACCAAUUUUCUCAGUUAUAUUAGAAUGUAUAUACUAAACUAAGUGUGAGCCUCUUCUUGUAUUGUCCAUUGCUCAUAACUUCCAUUUAGUCACCCAACUGCACCACAAGUGCUCCUUCAACGAACGGCACGGACAUCCAGUUGUUGUUUUUGUUAAUUAGUGAAAUUCUCAUGGAGAAUUCAAAACUUCAUUUUGUAGUAAUACCUGUAAUUUGACGGAUUUGAAGGCCACGUGUGAAUCCAAUCCGAUACUGGAUGAGAGUAGUGUUUGAUGAAAUCUCUCCAGCCGUAAACUUCAUCCCUGGCUUGAUUAAGGCUUGUUCCAUACCUCACAGGCAAUUCGAAUUUCAUUGAUGGUUGAUCUAGAAACAAGAGAUUGAUCACGCGAAGUAGACAAAUAUCUAUGAUGGGAAGAGUGGUUGAUAUUGGAAGAUGAGGGCUGGGUCGUUGUGAUGGUGGAAGAACAUAACGUCGAGGUAUAGAAGACACUCCAAGCUUGUUAAGACUCACAGCACUGGUUGUUCACUUACAUUGUACAUGCUAGAAAGUACAGAAAAAUGUUUUUCGUUCGGAAAAGAGUGUGGAUUAAAUGGUAGUAAGCUCUAGGUUUGAGUGAUGAUGAGAGUUGAAGUCAGAAGGGAAGAAAAAAGAGAGCAAAGUGAUGAAGGAAUUUUUAUGGAGUUACUGCUAGUGGGAAAAAAAUAGGUGGCUUGGCUUAUUUGGUCUUUUUCUUUUGUUGGAUAAAUGUUUGUACUUUUUACACGUACUAGAAGAAGUACAAGUACAUGCUGCAUAGAGAUUAUUGGCU